CACACCUCUGUAUAUUUUGUAUAAAAUAUUAAAAUUUAAAAUGAAACCACUUUAUUUUAUUGGUUUAAUGCUUUGACUGCCUGAGAUAUGGCCAGCACAUUGUAAAGAAAUGUGAGUAGCACACCAUGGCACUGAGGGGAUUAAACAUAUUGCGUAUUACUUAGCAUGCAGGAAAUUGCUUGUGCUUGUUACUUAGAAUGAAGGAAAUUACUUAGGUUAAUGAGUUGUUCCUGCUCUGACAUAUGAUGCUAAAAUAUAAAAUUGAGUCAGCACAGAAAAAGUCCACUUUGACUUAAGGAUACAGGACAAUACAUUAAUGGAGCUGUGCCUGAAAACCUGGGAGUGUCUGGCAGCAUGCUUCAACAUACAUGUCAGUGUGGUUGGCAAGGGGGGGGGGGGAGAAACCUUUUUGAACAGACAUGACACUUUAACAGCAGAUAUGCGAAGUGCUAGUAUUGAAACUAGACUCCACUAGUUGUGUGUUACCCUCUGGCUUAGUGGUUACAUUUGUGGAUACCUCAUGAGCAGGAAAAAAAGAAUGACAAUUCAGGAGUUGUAAAUCAUCACAACUCCUGACUCUCAUGUUCACAGAAUAAGCAUAAAAAAGGCCAGAAUUUUACUUGCAAGCUUUUUAUUUAAUUUCAAGCUUUGUGCACUAUCUCCAGGCUACACUGCAAAUAAUCUAUUUCUGUGAGAUUUUAAAACUUUUAAAUUAUCACACAUUGGGCAUCCAAUUGAGAUGCCCUGUUGGAGAUUAAAAGUGGCACUUCAAAUAUCACCUCAAGGAGCAUACUGAGCAUGUUUUAGGUGCCGUUUGAAUGGACAGAUUUUAAAAAGCAACCUAAAUUCUACACAUGACUAGUUUCAUGUAACAUCCAUCUUCAGAUCAAGCUCAUGCUGAAAGUGAAUUGAAGGACUCAAAAUCCAAAUUUUGUCAGAGUGCCACAAUAGUUCUCUCCUUCCAACAAAUCCCAACAAUGGCCAUUUCCUCCAAAAAUUAAGAAUCAUAAUGUACAAACUUUUCACCUCUAUUGUGGCUAACCGGAUCUGAGAGUUACUGUAAGAAAUGUCUUUAAUUCUAACCAUAACCUCUGCUGUAUCAUGGACACAUGUGAAUAGUGAAAGCACAGGCGAGCCACUUACCUAUAUAAUCUAAUAAGCCACGCACACACUAUCAAGGGAAUAAUGAAAUUCGAAGCACCCUUCUAAAUUCUAAGCAAGGUAUACAGUAUUGUAAAUUUGGGAUAAUCCUCAAGGAGUCUUUCAAAAUAAAAUUAGCAUGUACCCCUCUUAACAGUA
Pelobates cultripes (western spadefoot toad) is the source of this 1299-nucleotide non-coding RNA. NCBI's taxonomy places the organism in Eukaryota, Metazoa, Chordata, Amphibia, Anura, Pelobatidae. The record is from the annotation of a GenBank genome assembly.